GGUGGUUCCUGGGUGAUGCACCCCAGAAUCUGGCUCCCUCCUCUCUAACUCUGGUGCGUCACCCAAGAACCACA
Myotis davidii is the source of this 74-nucleotide non-coding RNA. Lineage: Eukaryota; Metazoa; Chordata; Mammalia; Chiroptera; Vespertilionidae. The record is from Rfam.